AGUAGCAAGGUUAAGCACUUAAGGUGCGGAGCCGUAGCGAAAGCGAGUUUUAACUGAGCGUUCAGUUACUUGACGUAGACCCGAAACCGGGCGACCUACCCAUGAGCAGGAUGAAGCGAAAGUAAAAGUUCGUGGAGGUCCGAACCCACGGGCGUUGAAAAGCUCGGGGAUGACUUGUGGGUAGCGGUGAAAUUCCAAUCGAGCCCGGAGAUAGCUGGUUCUCCCCGAAAUAGCUUUAGGGCUAGCCUCAAGGUGAGAGAUACGGAGGUAGAGCACUG
Molecule: ribosomal RNA, 278 nt
Filed under: Clostridioides difficile
Lineage: Bacteria; Bacillati; Bacillota; Clostridia; Peptostreptococcales; Peptostreptococcaceae
Description: partial 23S ribosomal RNA
Rfam family: Bacterial large subunit ribosomal RNA
Source: RNAcentral